UCCCUCGUAGCUCAAUUCGGUAGAGCCGCGCCUUGUUACGGCGAAUGUUGUUGGUUCGAAUCCAGCCGGGGGAGCCA
This 77-nucleotide transfer RNA is filed under the name Mycolicibacterium fortuitum. RNAcentral's name for it is "tRNA-Asn". It matches the Rfam family "tRNA". Rfam says of the family: Transfer RNA (tRNA) molecules are approximately 80 nucleotides in length. Their secondary structure includes four short double-helical elements and three loops (D, anti-codon, and T loops). The record is from RNAcentral. Lineage: Bacteria; Bacillati; Actinomycetota; Actinomycetes; Mycobacteriales; Mycobacteriaceae.